GUCGAGAAUCUUCCGCAAUGGGCGAAAGCCUGACGGAGCGACGCCGCGUGGAGGACGAAGGCCUUCGGGUUGUAAACUCCUGUCACGAGUUAAGAAGGUGCUGCCACGAACAGUGGUAGUAUUUGACGUAAGCUCGAGAGGAAGCACUGGCUAACUCUGUGCCAGCAGCCGCGGUAAUACAGAGAGUGCAAACGUUGUUCGGAAUUACUGGGCUUAAAGCGCACGUAGGCUGUGUCGUAAGUGUCAGGUGAAAUCCCACGGCUCACCCGUGGAACUGCCUGGCAUACUGCGAUACUCGAGUGUGGUAGGGGAGAGCGGAACUCCUGGUGGAGCGGUGAAAUGCGUAGAUAUCAGGAGGAACACCGGUGGCGAAGGCGGCUCUCUGGUCCACAACUGACGCUGAGGUGCGAAAGCUAGGGGAGCAAACGGGAUUAGAUACCCGUGUAGUCC
Molecule: ribosomal RNA, 450 nt
Filed under: uncultured bacterium
Lineage: Bacteria
Description: bacterial SSU rRNA
Rfam family: Bacterial small subunit ribosomal RNA
Source: RNAcentral